AAAGAAUUUCGUCAAUAGGACCUGUACUUUUCAUUUGGGAGCGAUUUGUUUCGGCCUGACUUUUCUGUUCAUUUUAAGCAGCAAAAGUGAGGUGCAUGUCUGUGUGCGUGUGUACUGAGCCAUUGGGUGCAGUUACUAUAGCAACCAGGCUCACACCUGCCUGCCUAACGAGCUCUGUCUCUCACUGUGCCAAGAUUCAUCUUAAACACUUCUCUUUCAACUGCUGCUGUGUCCACAGUGUUUGCUCUACAGCCAUCAUUUUACCCUCAAAACGAAGCCAUCGUUCUUCUCUUUCCAACAGCAUGUCUUUCAAAGCUCAGAGAUGUAAACCUUUAAAAGUGUGUGGAUCCAAGUGUAGGGAUUACACUUUAGUCAUUCAGUGAUUCAAAGAAUAUGAACUUUUAAUAUUCAUUCAGGUGUUUUCUGACUCUAAAUUUUCUGUUCUCAUUUCUUAGGUUUUCCAAAUUUUAAUUUAAAAACUUUUCAGCUAUUUUCCAACUUCUUCUGUGUGAACAUCAGCUUUCAAAAGUUCUGCACUUUUGUUUUCAGGUUAAAAACUCUGCAUUUUCCAGCUCAUUCAACAUUUUUAUUUUUAACUCAAAAUUCAGCAAUUAAUUCAUUUCAGUGCAUACAUUCAGAUUCAAGCAUUCACACUGCAGUUUCUUCAGAAAAUGCACUUUCUAGUUAUUAUUAGUGUGAAUGCUUGUAAAAGCAUUCACAGUAUUGUUGUUGUAAUCUUUAUUAUUCUAUUUUAUUAUAGAUUCCGUACGUUUUUUGUACUCUAUCUCCUUCAAAACCGUUCAACUUAGAAAAACCAUUCAAACACCAUUAGAUUCCUCUUCUUUAGGACAUGACUGCUUCUACUUUUCUCAUUUAUAACAUUUAUAUUUUUAAUUUUAUUCAACUUUUUUCAACAAAAAUUUCCCAUGUAUUUCAAUGGGGAGAACCUUCAAAUUCUCAUUCAACUUACUCCUCUUCAAACUGUAUCUACCUCCACAUACGUUAACAUAGAACCACCAUUCAAACUUUAAAACGAAGACAAGACUUUCAAUUAUUCAACUUGUAUUUAUCUUUUCAAUAUCUGUUAUACUUUUUCUUCAGUUCCAGUUUAAGUUUCAUGAUGUUUUUUAAGCCAUUUCAGAGUUUAUAAUGGGUGUGUAUGGGACGGAAUGUUGGGGCUAGAGUGAGACAGCUCAACUGCUAGAGUGAGAGGAGCGAAAAAAUUAAUCUUAAAAUAUUUUUUAAAACUGCUGCUGUGUCCACAGUGUUUGCUCUACAGGUAUGAUUUUACCCUCAAAACGUAGCCAUCGCUGUCCUCUUUCAUCCAAUGUGUUUACUAUUGUACUAGGUGUUAUGGUUCUUUCAUAAAUGUCACCAAUGCACAGCCUCCUCCCUCCAACUCCUCCAUAGACUCUAAUGUUAAAAUGGCUCAGAAGGUUCGUUUGAAAACCAGAAGUACAGGCUGUCUUUACACUGUCACCACGUCCAUAUAAUAAACUCCACAGGCAUGAAAACUGAGAAUUAGGUAGACUGGACAUUGCUGUCGCUCACGGUGAAAGAAUUUUGUCAAUAGGACCUGUACUUUUCAUUUGGGAGCGAUUUGUUUCGACCUGACUUUUCUGUUCAUUUUAAGCAGCAAAAGUGAGGUGCAUGUCUGUG
This is a long non-coding RNA of Oreochromis aureus, 1659 nucleotides long. Lineage: Eukaryota; Metazoa; Chordata; Actinopteri; Cichliformes; Cichlidae. The record is from Ensembl.